AACAGGAUUAGAUACCCUGGUAGUCCACGCCGUAAACGAUGUCGACUUGGAGGUUGUGCCCUUGAGGCGUGGCUUCCGGAGCUAACGCGUUAAGUCGACCGCCUGGGGAGUACGGCCGCAAGGUUAAAACUCAAAUGAAUUGACGGGGGCCCGCACAAGCGGUGGAGCAUGUGGUUUAAUUCGAUGCAACGCGAAGAACCUUACCUACUCUUGACAUCCAGAGAACUUAGCAGAGAUGCUUUGGUGCCUUCGGGAACUCUGAGACAGGUGCCGCAUGGCUGUCGUCAGCUCGUGUUGUGAAAUGUUGGGUUAAGUCCCGCAACGAGCGCAACCCUUACCCUUUGUUGCCAGCGGUUAGGCCGGGAACUCAAAGGAGACUGCCAGUGAUAAACUGGAGGAAGGUGGGGAUGACGUCAAGUCAUCAUGGCCCUUACGAGUAGGGCUACACACGUGCUACAAUGGCAUAUACAAAGAGAAGCGACCUCGCGAGAGCAAGCGGACCUCAUAAAGUAUGUCGUAGUCCGGAUUGGAGUCUGCAACUCGGCUCCAUGAAGUCGGAAUCGCUAGUAAUCGUGGAUCAGAAUGCCACGGUGAAUACGUUCCCGGGCCUUGUACACACCGCCCGUCACACCAUGGGAGUGGGUUGCAAAAGAAGUAGGUAGCUUAACCUUCGGGAGGGCGCCUACCACUUUGUGAUUCAUGACUGGGGUGAAGUCGUAACAAGGUAACC
This 730-nucleotide ribosomal RNA is filed under the name uncultured bacterium. RNAcentral describes it as "bacterial SSU rRNA". It matches the Rfam family "Bacterial small subunit ribosomal RNA", at positions 771 to 1501 of the family's 1533-position model. The record is from RNAcentral.